Molecule: unclassified non-coding RNA, 470 nt
Filed under: Hevea brasiliensis (rubber tree)
Lineage: Eukaryota; Viridiplantae; Streptophyta; Magnoliopsida; Malpighiales; Euphorbiaceae
Source: RNAcentral
CACAGGUCGCCUUUUUGCCUUGCUUUGAAAGGCUUCUUCCCUGAAACAUUUCUCAUAUUCUUUUUACGCAUCUCCAUUUGCAGCACCAUGUCAUUUUUUCUUGGUUGAUGUUCUUUAUUGCUAUUCUGUUCAAGAGGAUUUCCAACUGCUAAUUGCUUUUUUUCCCAAAUUUUGCUUAGGAUCCUGGGGACAUUUUUCCUAAAUGGUUGCCAUGUUCUAGACUUCUAGUAGUUACUUAAUUCAGUUUUUCAUGAUUUGUACUGUUAAGGUCACAGAAAAUCUUAUUUUAAUGAUUUAUUCUAUGCGUUAUCUUGCAACUCUGUUUCUGAGGUAGCACCUGAUCUGUGUAAUUACUUUCACAAGUAAUAUAUAUAUAGUUUACAGCUUUGUAUUUUUUUUUUCUUGAAAUGGUUAUCUACUUUUGGGAUGUUAAGGGGACAGUCUGCCAGUGAAAAUUUGGAGUCUAGGAG